AGGCCCUUAGCUCAGCUGGUAGAGCGCUGGUCUCCAAAACCAGAAGUCGUCGGUUCGAAUCCGGCAGGGCCUGCCA
Molecule: transfer RNA, 76 nt
Filed under: Pseudomonadota bacterium
Lineage: Bacteria; Pseudomonadati; Pseudomonadota
Also listed under: 2 other names
Description: tRNA-Trp
Rfam family: tRNA
About the family: Transfer RNA (tRNA) molecules are approximately 80 nucleotides in length. Their secondary structure includes four short double-helical elements and three loops (D, anti-codon, and T loops). Further hydrogen bonds mediate the characteristic L-shaped molecular structure. tRNAs have two regions of fundamental functional importance: the anti-codon, which is responsible for specific mRNA codon recognition, and the 3' end, to which the tRNAs corresponding amino acid is attached (by aminoacyl-tRNA synthetases). tRNAs cope with the degeneracy of the genetic code in two manners: having more than one tRNA (with a specific anti-codon) for a particular amino acid; and 'wobble' base-pairing, i.e. permitting non-standard base-pairing at the 3rd anti-codon position.
Source: RNAcentral